UCCCUGCAGAGGAGAGAUAAAGGAGAAGGAGCGUGAGAGGGGGGUCCGAGGCAGCGGGCGGCUGCUGAGGAACCCGCCAGGUCGGGCCUGGGUGCAGACGGACCCCGCCACCAGGAGACCCGGUCUGAGGAGGUCGCGGCCCGGUGUCUCCCGAGGGCGAGUCCCUGCCGAACCCGAGCUGGAGCGACGGGCGAGGAGGAAGAGGGCUGGGAGCAGAAAUUAACCGCGCAGCCACGAGGACCCCCCCACUCAGGACGGGACGCGCCAGCCCACGGGAAAUCCUCCUCAGCCUCAGGAGAAGUGCGGUGGGGAGAGAAGCGAGGACUGACCCUGCGGCCCCGGCCGCGAACCAACUGCUGGGGUGGACCACGCCGAAAGCUACGUCUCCUUACCGACGGCGCCCACCGCCAGCGACUACAACUCCCAGAAGCCUCCGCCCGCGGACCGCAGAAUGCGUGGUAGCGCCGCCGCUUUCUUAUCCGGGAAGCGGCUAAGGAAUCCUUAGCGCGCAUGCGCCCACGGGGGGUGUGUGUGUGAGGUUUCUUCCUAGUCUUUGGGAACUAUGUUUCCCAGCGUGCUCUGGGGCUCGUGGAAGGUGCACGCCUUCACUGGUGAGCGUCCCGGGAGCGUUCUCAUGCAUUAUUAGCAGGCGCUCCCCGGAAAUCGGCGGCGUGUCAGGAUUCAGCCAGUUGACCUAAAGUUGUCUUCGCCAUGGUCUUGCUACUUGCAGGUGACGAAUUUCAUAUCAGAAAUAUACCAAAAUUUCAUCAUAUUUUGAGGAAACUGUCUGACUCCUGACUCCAUUUUGAAGCCCAUCUUUGAUAGUGAAUGGACAAGGCUAGUAGCCACAUCCCAAGGAAGACAUGGUGAGCAGCCAAAUGUCUGCAUUUCCCUAGACCGGAAGAAGUUCUGCACAAUGAUGAAAGGGCUCUCGACCGAAUAAAAGUAGGUAAGGAGUUUCUGUGUAAACCUCAAAAGCAUCUAAAGUUGUCAGAGAUCUUUGUGCAUCCCAUUGACCUUCCUCUCCCAUGCUUCAGUGAGACAAAAGAACAUCCAGAAUCCUGGGCAAGGGCAGCCCCAUAGUUUUCUAUCUAAAAGAGUGGAGCUGAGCAGGUCACAGGUGGGCUGUGGGGGUACAGUUACACAUAGGUUUCCCACACACCAAAAAUUGGUUGCUGACAGUUCAGUUUCUCCUAUCCCUUGGAAGGAAGGCCUGGAAGAAGAAAAUCACCAUUUUAAAACAUACCUUCCAGCUUCCUAGGCCUGUCCUUAGUGAAUUACUCUGUGUGACUGCAAAGGCCGGCUUCUGUCAGCUGAGUAUGACACAAAUUUGAAAGCAUAUCUAUGCUCCAACACUCCCAUAAAAGCAAACCUAUUUUCUGAAAUCACCAUCUCCCUCUGCCCAAUUAAUUCUGCCACCCCUAACUCCCUUUCAGAUGCCACUCCAAAGGACACAUCCCGUAAAUAUUUGCACACAGACCUCUAUCUCAGAGGCUGCCUCCUGAAGAAUAUGCCACAAGGUACAUAGGUUCAGUGUUUCAUGACUUCUGUCAUUUGUUCUGUCCUAAGGAAGGGCAAUUGCACGUCUAACAUAGACCUUUUAAAAACAUUCAACUAAAUGAAUUAUAUAUAUAUGCUAUUUUAAUAGGAAGCAGCUGCAUUUUAGCAAACAUAAAUAAUAGAAUGUCAUCUCUAUUAAAUUAGUUCAAGUGCCAAGUAUUAGCUAUAUCUCGAAUUUAGAUACUGCUAGUUUUUUACUUGCUUUCGUUUUCUUCCACAGAUGUACUUACUGGUCUUUGUUGCUGCUGUUGUUAACAUUAAAAAGAGCCAUAGUACCUGGCAAGUACUGCUCCCUGGAAAAGGAAAAACAUACAGUGAGAGCGCAAUGGUCACCAUGCUCAUAGUUAGCAAACUGUCUUAACAAAACAAACGACUUACACUUUUCUACUCCCUACGUAACAUUGCCCAGAUUACUAUUUUAAAAGUACAGAACUUCUGUGAAGCACAACUUGCCAUAAACCAGCGCAUUGAACCGAAACAGCUAGUAAAUAACUAUUGGUCAAGGUGCAUAACAAACUUGGUAUCAUCUUUGGCCUUGAGUGAACCAGGAUAGAUAGCACUGGCAUCCUCCAAAAGACCCCAGAUAGUCAGCAAAAACAAAAAGAGGGGGAAUAAAUACUUUAAAUAAAUACAGUGGAAAGCUAUAGUUAGUCACAGGAAGAAAUAAAAAGAGGGGGAAAGAUAAUAAAAAGUAAAAUACAUUGCGUAGGAUCAGAACCUCUGGUCCAUACUAUACCACAUUCCUUCAACAUUCAAUGGCUUCAGGCUCUGUAUUCGAACAGGAUUGCUUUAGUUCCCCUAUGAACAUUUUAUACUUUUCUAAUCUCACACUGUAUUUCCUGGGAGUAGGCUCUCCCAGAUACAGCAGUUUAGAUAAUGAUAGCCCACCCUCUCAUAUGUAGUUGUUCCAGGAUCCUGAAGGAUGAACUCAAAAGAAACAGGAUAUCAAAGGAAUGUGGGGAGCCAGACACACCCAAGAUUUCUAAGAGGCUCUAAUGAAAAGACAAAAGAGACUUUAGUUCUCUCUCAUUGUCCAGGAACAGACUUGCCAAGACAAGUCUAAUACUAGAGCCAGUGCCUCAUAGGAGUCAAGAUCGUAAUAUCUGAAGACCCAACUCUUCCCGCUGGGUUGUAAUUAUCAGUCCUGAGACAGCUGUGUCUGUGUCCUGUGCUCUUUGUCAACAAUGUCUGAUUUAGCUCUCUGCUGUCCUUGGCCAUUUUCUUCCUGCAAAUAGUAUACAUAAUGCUGUACUUCUUAAUAAACUUGCUUGGCGUAAGUCAUCAGCUUAUGGAA
This is a long non-coding RNA of Mesocricetus auratus (golden hamster), 2854 nucleotides long. RefSeq lists it as uncharacterized. The transcript is spliced from 3 exons. NCBI's taxonomy places the organism in Eukaryota, Metazoa, Chordata, Mammalia, Rodentia, Cricetidae. The record is from RefSeq and is a predicted model, not a curated record.